CCUACGGGAGGCAGCAGUGGGGAAUUUUGGACAAUGGGCGCAAGCCUGAUCCAGCAAUGCCGCGUGCAGGAUGAAGGCCUUCGGGUUGUAAACUGCUUUUGUACGGAACGAAACGGCUCUUUCUAAUAAAGAGAGCUAAUGACGGUACCGUAAGAAUAAGCACCGGCUAACUACGUGCCAGCAGCCGCGGUAAUACGUAGGGUGCGAGCGUUAAUCGGAAUUACUGGGCGUAAAGCGUGCGCAGGCGGUUAUAUAAGACAGAUGUGAAAUCCCCGGGCUCAACCUGGGACCUGCAUUUGUGACUGUAUAGCUAGAGUACGGUAGAGGGGGAUGGAAUUCCGCGUGUAGCAGUGAAAUGCGUAGAUAUGCGGAGGAACACCGAUGGCGAAGGCAAUCCCCUGGACCUGUACUGACGCUCAUGCACGAAAGCGUGGGGAGCAAACAGGAUUAGAUACCCUGGUAGUCCACGCCCUAAACGAUGUCAACUGGUUGUUGGGUCUUCACUGACUCAGUAACGAAGCUAACGCGUGAAGUUGACCGCCUGGGGAGUAACGGCCGCAAAGGUUGAAACUUCAAAGUAGAAGUUGGCGGNGNGAGAGCGACGACGACGACGAGAGGGAGGAGG
Molecule: ribosomal RNA, 625 nt
Filed under: uncultured bacterium
Lineage: Bacteria
Description: bacterial SSU rRNA
Rfam family: Bacterial small subunit ribosomal RNA
Source: RNAcentral